AUAUUGCGCAAUGGACGAAAGUCUGACGCAGCGACGCCGCGUGUGGGAUGAAGCCUUUCGGGGUGUAAACCACUGUUGCCCGGGACGAAACUCCUCUUUCGAGAGGACUGACGGUACCGGGUGAGGAAGCACCGGCUAACUUCGUGCCAGCAGCCGCGGUAAUACGAAGGGUGCAAGCGUUACUCGGAAUUACUGGGCGUAAAGCGUGCGUAGGUGGUUUGUUAAGUCUGAUGUGAAAGCCCUGGGCUCAACCUGGGAAUGGCAUUGGAUACUGGCAGGCUAGAGUGCGGUAGAGGGUAGUGGAAUUCCCGGUGUAGCAGUGAAAUGCGUAGAGAUCGGGAGGAACAUCUGUGGCGAAGGCGACUACCUGGACCAGCACUGACACUGAGGCACGAAAGCGUGGGGAGCAA
Molecule: ribosomal RNA, 410 nt
Filed under: uncultured bacterium
Lineage: Bacteria
Description: bacterial SSU rRNA
Rfam family: Bacterial small subunit ribosomal RNA
Source: RNAcentral